GCACAGGCACAGAGCAAAGAACCAGGGGAGAGCUUCAUCUGUGAGAGCAACAACAGGGCAAGGACUCAGGGACCUCUGCUUCACCGAUCUACAGCUGGGCUGCUUCACUCACCAGCACCUACUCAGGAUUGACCGGCAGUAACCUCAAGAUGACCCCACCUACUGCUUUAGUGUGAACAGGUAAACCAAUAAGACACAUGCAAACUUUAAAUAUGUCACUCGGCCAACGUCAUAAUCAAAGUAGCUAAUUUUGUACAUUACCUCACACAGAGAAGGUACAUUUAUCAACCAAUCUAACAUCAAAACUGCUUUGUUGUGUAUUUGUGCAUUCAUUCAAACACCAAGACCUCAAGAAUGAAAUUAUGUAUUAUAAGAACUUCAUGCUAUAAACCAUUCUUUCCUUUUUUAAAGAUUAAACUCAAAAAGACCCUCUUGUAUUACAGAAUGUGACUCUUGCCAAAUGCAAGGUUUUGCAAUUCCAGCUUUAUAUACUGGUAUUACAGUGGACAUGCUGGUUUCACAUUAGUUUUUCUCCCCCAUGAUGAUGCACUACACUAUAAUGACAUAAUUUGUAUAAUGACUAUUCAUAGGACUGCAGCCAGUCUAUGAAUAUAACUUUAAAGUUGAACACCUUUAUGAUUUUUCUUGUUCAUCUCAGAAGAAAUACUUCCUAUAUUACAGUGAGUAUGAAAGAAAAGCUGAUAAAAGCAAAUUUAGACAACAAUUGAGUUUCAUAUUGUAUUUCCUACAUUUAGUGAUUCUAAGCAAGACCAUAUCUUAAAAUGUGAAAGCCAAGGUCGAAUUCCUAUCACAUUGCAGCAUGCUCGCAAUGCAAGAGGAUGGUAAUACCAAGCAUAUGGUAACUGCAGUUACACAGACUCUUCAAAGGAGCCCAGAGCUGACCUGGAGCAAGAACAAACUUGCAAGUGAAGACUGUGAAAGGAGUGCAGAAUUAUACCCUGGGCUACAUAUUGCCAAGGCUGUGAGAUACAGUAUGUUCCAGCAAAAUCUUAAUUUACAGCAUGAUGCCGAAUACCAUCUAUACAGCAAACCCAUCAAAGAGCAAGUGAUAGCUGGGAACUGAAGACACAUUAAGAUAGAGUCAUGAUUUUUGUUACAGCUGUAGCAGUAUCAUCAUGUUCUCUGGUGCAGAUUAAAAGCUUAGAUCAGAGAAAGUGGGGAAACAAAAGAGAAGAUAGAACAUUCAGGCUGCUUUUGUGUUCUUGGUCUUGUUUUGCAGGGACGUUUCAAAGACAGAAGUCAAAACAGCACACUGUCAACAUGGGAACAGCUGGUAAGAGCGGUAUCAUGGGGCAGAGGAAUGUCAAGAGCCAUAGAUCUUUUAUCCAUCAGGUUAUAAAAGCCACCAAGAUUAGUUUGAAACCAACAGCAACUCACCUUGUGCUAUUUUUGCUUAUAAUCAUUCCUACAAAACAUUCUGAAUUACAGAAUCAUAGCGUGAAUUCAUCAAAAACAAGGCUAUGCAAAUAUAUACAAAUGCAAAAUACAGCCAUAUUUUGUUGUAUUUAGUUACAGCAACUUUUGAUGAAUUUCAGAUGUGACAAGUUGAUUUUGUUAUAUACUUUACCCCAGGAUGCAGAGAUUACAUGAUGUGGAAAUAAUUUCCUGGUUCAGUUGCUGACAGGCUGUCAGCUGCAGGAGCAGCAGAAUACAAUACUUCUGACUGGCUAAAGCGUCACAGCAUAUAACGCUGCCAUCUUUACAGAGUUAAACAGCCAGUUGAACAGGCAUAUACAGCUGCUUCAGCCCAGUUUCCUUUUCAAGUCAACAUCACUUAGAAAAGAUACACCAAGCAACCAUAACUCAAAACGAAAUGACAAAACAGCUGAGUUUUUCUCUUUGUCUAAACAUUCCACUGAGAGCUUUUUUUUUCCAUGAGCAUGUUAAACACCCAGCACGGCUUGGCUGACUGUUGCACUGCAGAUGAACAGGAAUGAGGAAUAACUACAGGAAAGAUUUCUAGAAAGAUUUUUGACAAUAUAACUUGAAAAACACAAACAGCAGACCAACUGAAUAACAUGACAUGAAGUUAUAAAGUAGUGACCUUUGACACAGGACGUCCAAGUCUCCAAGACUAACUCCCUUUUCUGGCUAAUGUUACACAGCUGCUUUUCUAAUCUGUCUUAGCAGCCAGCUUGCCACAUCCUGCAAACAGGCAGCAUGGAAAAGCUCAGGGAAGUGGAAGAUCUUGACCUUCCAUUUGUAAUAUAUAUAUAUUUUUUUUUUUACUACGCCUCAAAAAUCCUCCUUAAAAAAUUUAAAAUAUGUAGUGCUGGAAUGAUUAAUCAGUUUUUUGAUCAACUAAAAACUCAGCAACUUUUGGACACCACUUUAAAAUCAAAAUUUCAAGCAGAAAUGUUUAAUAUUUGAUGGCUUCUGUUUCUCAAAUAUGUGGGUCUGCUGCUUUUCUUUAUUUGGGUGUGGAACACUUUGUCAGACAUAAUAUUACAGCAUGGUAGAGAAACUUUUCACAAUUUUAACAAACCAAAUGAUAACUCAAUUAAUCGAAAAUAACUGGCAGAUGAAUCAAUAACAAAAACAGCUGCAGCCUAAAAAAUACAGUGGACAAAAACUCAAGGGUGAAUUUUUUUCUUUAAAUGUUGGAGAAGGGAGCGAAGAAAUAACUGAUGAAUAGUGGAUCAGGCACUUUCUUGCACACUGGAAUUUUUCACAUCGGUAAAUCUGUGGCUCAGCUCAUAUGAACAAGUAGAAACAGAGCUGACAGGUAGCUAACUUGCAUGAAAUGCACCCAGCCAAAACAUUUUGAUACAAGUACAGCUACAUCUCUAACCCCCUAGCUGUAGCUAACACAUCACAGUCUUGAAUGCUGGAGUUGAAAUGGAGGACUAUAAGUUUCCUGUUACUUAAAAUGGGCAACCCAAUCGAUCAUUGUCUCUCUGACAAGAGGGGAAAAGCUCUUUGACGGGGAUGUCGAGUCCCCACAGACUCCAUUUCACUCCAUCAACUUGAUAGCAUUGGCAGGACUGAACAGGACUAGGCCCCAUCAAGUCUGAGGUGGCAGCCUCAUGGUAGAAGAAAAUACAUUCAAGUAUGGCCUAAGAAGUGACUCAUAGAGGCUUCAAAGCACCUUAUAAUACCCAACCAAGUUGAGGAAAAGCAGACGCUACCUGCUCGUGUCAAAGCAAGGCCAUGUUCCCUACCAUCCGAUGGGCUUCAGGUAAACCACACUAAACACUUCCAGACUUUCACGCCCUGUCUGAUCUCAUUUUAUCUCACUGCAUCAGCUCCUAAUCAGAUCUCCCACAGCAUAACAUGUAGUACAUGGGCUCCUCUCUUAAUUUCUUCCAGUGUCCAGUGCAAACUAAUUCUGGUUCGGAGUCAGCUCUUAUUCUUUCAGAUGGAGCUUAAUAUUCUCUUUUAACUGCUCUCUAAACUGCAAUAAAUUAAAAGGAUGUUUAUGCAAAUGCUUGCAAAGAAAACUUAUAUUCGAGUGAGUAUUAUGUUUCUUCAUGUUAUCCAAAGGGCUUGACCUAAAAGAGACUUACAUCCUUGAUGUGAAAGUUAAGCUGUGAUCCAAAUAUUUUGUAUCUUUACACAACAUCUCACAGCAUCUGGUUUUCUGCUUCCCAAACCUUAAUGAUCUGCCAAAAAACUGUAAGCCAUAGUGCUUGACUUUUAACCAGCAAAUCAUCAACUGAAUAUUUUGCUUUCUCUCAAAGGCCCAAAUGAAACAUUAUCUCCCGACUCAGAUUUAAAUUAAAGCCAUGAGCAGAACCCUGUUAGUGAGGACCAAGGGGGACCUUCCACCCACCACUUUAAUUGGUCACAAUUGACUGGCACAUGGGCAGGAUCAGGAAACACAAGCCCACUGAUGUCACGACCAACUGACCCCAGGGUGACAGGUUUGGAUAAUGUUCUUGCCCACUGCCCUCAGACCUAAAUAGGUUUGUCAAUGUUAUGCAUGUGGAUUUAAUUUCAAUCAGCAUGAUUAGUUCACAGAUGUUGAACUGCGAUCCCCCUUCAUGGGAAACCCACUCUUGACAGGAAACACUAUGUUUUUAUUAGCAACAAACAGAAAUAAAUGACUAAAACUGUGCCUCAGUUGCCAGUUUUAUCACACACAGUUGUAUUGUUGUU
Long non-coding RNA from Monopterus albus (swamp eel), 4119 nucleotides. RefSeq lists it as uncharacterized. Lineage: Eukaryota; Metazoa; Chordata; Actinopteri; Synbranchiformes; Synbranchidae. The record is from RefSeq and is a predicted model, not a curated record. The transcript is spliced from 2 exons.